This 357-nucleotide ribosomal RNA is filed under the name uncultured bacterium. RNAcentral's name for it is "bacterial SSU rRNA". It matches the Rfam family "Bacterial small subunit ribosomal RNA", at positions 8 to 353 of the family's 1533-position model. The record is from RNAcentral.
AGAGUUUGAUCCUGGCUCAGGAUGAACGCUAGCUACAGGCUUAACACAUGCAAGGUCGAGGGGAAACGAUAUUGGAAGCUUGCUUUUGAUGGGCGUCGACCGGCGUACGGGUGAGUAACGCGUAUCCAACCUGCCCACCACUUGGGAAUAACCUUGCGAAAGUAAGACUAAUACCCAAUGAUAUCUCUAGAAGACAUCUGAAAGAGAUUAAAGAUUUAUCGGUGAUGGAUGGGGAUGCGUCUGAUUAGCUUGUUGGCGGGGUAACGGCCCACCAAGGCAACGAUCAGUAGGGGUUCUGAGAGGAAGGUCCCCCACAUUGGAACUGAGACACGGUCCAAACUCCUACGGGAGGCAGCA